UUUAAAUUGAGAGUUUGAUCCUGGCUCAGGAUGAACGCUGGCGGCGUGCUUAACACAUGCAAGUCGAGCGAUGAAGUUUCCUUCGGGAAACGGAUUAGCGGCGGACGGGUGAGUAACACGUGGGUAACCUGCCUCAUAGAGUGGAAUAGCCUUCCGAAAGGAAGAUUAAUACCGCAUAAUGUUGAAAGAUGGCAUCAUCAUUUAACCAAAGGAGCAAUCCGCUAUGAGAUGGACCCGCGGCGCAUUAGCUAGUUGGUGGGGUAACGGCCUACCAAGGCGACGAUGCGUAGCCGACCUGAGAG
RNAcentral lists this ribosomal RNA (302 nucleotides) under Clostridium perfringens. RNAcentral's name for it is "partial 16S ribosomal RNA". It matches the Rfam family "Bacterial small subunit ribosomal RNA", at positions 1 to 298 of the family's 1533-position model. Lineage: Bacteria; Bacillati; Bacillota; Clostridia; Eubacteriales; Clostridiaceae. The record is from RNAcentral.